GGGGAAGCUUUGCUUCCCGGAUGUUAGCGGCGGACGGGUGGAGUAACGCGUGGGUAACCUGCCUGUAAGACUGGGAUAACUCCGGGAAACCGGAGCUAAUACCGGAUAGUUCCUUGAACCGCAUGGUUCAAGGAUGAAAGACGGUUUCGGCUGUCACUUACAGAUGGACCCGCGGCGCAUUAGCUAGUUGGUGAGGUAACGGCUCACCAAGGCGACGAUGCGUAGCCGACCUGAGAGGGUGAUCGGCCACACUGGGACUGAGACACGGCCCAGACUCCUACGGGAGGCAGCAGUAGGGAAUCUUCCGCAAUGGACGAAAGUCUGACGGAGCAACGCCGCGUGAGUGAUGAAGGUUUUCGGAUCGUAAAGCUCUGUUGUUAGGGAAGAACAAGUGCAAGAGUAACUGCUUGCACCUUGACGGUACCUAACCAGAAAGCCACGGCUAACUACGUGCCAGCAGCCGCGGUAAUACGUAGGUGGCAAGCGUUGUCCGGAAUUAUUGGGCGUAAAGGGCUCGCAGGCGGUUUCUUAAGUCUGAUGUGAAAGCCCCCGGCUCAACCGGGGAGGGUCAUUGGAAACUGGGAAACUUGAGUGCAGAAGAGGAGAGUGGAAUUCCACGUGUAGCGGUGAAAUGCGUAGAGAUGUGGAGGAACACCAGUGGCGAAGGCGACUCUCUGGUCUGUAACUGACGCUGAGGAGCGAAAGCGUGGGGAGCGAACAGGAUUAGAUACCCUUGGAAGUCCA
This 744-nucleotide ribosomal RNA is filed under the name Bacillus pumilus. RNAcentral's name for it is "bacterial SSU rRNA". It matches the Rfam family "Bacterial small subunit ribosomal RNA", at positions 71 to 797 of the family's 1533-position model. Lineage: Bacteria; Bacillati; Bacillota; Bacilli; Caryophanales; Bacillaceae. The record is from RNAcentral.